This 348-nucleotide ribosomal RNA is filed under the name uncultured Thiobacillus sp. Its description in RNAcentral is "bacterial SSU rRNA". It matches the Rfam family "Bacterial small subunit ribosomal RNA", at positions 1037 to 1382 of the family's 1533-position model. Lineage: Bacteria; Pseudomonadati; Pseudomonadota; Betaproteobacteria; Nitrosomonadales; Thiobacillaceae. The record is from RNAcentral.
GGUGCUGCAAGGCGUGUCGUCAGCUCGUGUCGUGAGAUGUUGGGUUAAGUCCCGCAACGAGCGCAACCCUCGUCCUAUGUUGCCAGCGGGUCAUGCCGGGGACUCAUGGGAGACUGCCGGGGUCAAACUCGGAGGAAGGUGGGGAUGACGUCAAGUCCUCAUGGCCCUUAUGGGUAGGGCUUCACACGUCAUACAAUGGUCGGUACAGAGGGUUGCCAAGCCGCGAGGCGGAGCCAAUCCCACAAAGCCGAUCGUAGUCCGGAUUGUUCUCUGCAACUCGAGAGCAUGAAGUCGGAAUCGCUAGUAAUCGCAGGUCAGCAUACUGCGGUGAAUACGUUCCCGAGUCUU